This 484-nucleotide ribosomal RNA is filed under the name uncultured bacterium. Its description in RNAcentral is "partial 16S ribosomal RNA". It matches the Rfam family "Bacterial small subunit ribosomal RNA", at positions 30 to 507 of the family's 1533-position model. The record is from RNAcentral.
AUUGAACGCUGGCGGCAGGCCUAACACAUGCAAGUCGAGCGGAUGAAGGGAGCUUGCUCCUGGAUUCAGCGGCGGACGGGUGAGUAAUGCCUAGGAAUCUGCCUGGUAGUGGGGGAUAACGUCCGGAAACGGGCGCUAAUACCGUAUACGUCCUGAGGGAGAAAGUGGGGGAUCUUCGGACCUCACGCUAUCAGAUGAGCCUAGGUCGGAUUAGCUAGUUGGUGGGGUAAAGGCCUACCAAGGCGACGAUCCGUAACUGGUCUGAGAGGAUGAUCAGUCACACUGGAACUGAGACACGGUCCAGACUCCUACGGGAGGCAGCAGUGGGGAAUAUUGGACAAUGGGCGAAAGCCUGAUCCAGCCAUGCCGCGUGUGUGAAGAAUGUCUUCGGAUUGUAAAGCACUUUAAGUUGGGAGGAAGGGCAGUAAGUUAAUACCUUGCUGUUUUGACGUUACCAACAGAAUAAGCACCGGCUAACUUCGUG